AUCGCAAGAUGAAUCAAAGAAUGACGGGAGUCUACACAAGCGGGGAGCAUGUGUUUAUUCGAUAUACGCGCAGAACUUACCAACUCUGCAAAUAGAUUAAAAAUUAAAUUUAAUCUAAACAGGCGUUGCAUGGCUGUCGUCAGCUCGUGUUGUGAAAUGUUUGGUUAAAUCCUUUAACGAGCGCAACCCCUAUUAUUAGUUGCUAAUUUAUUUAAAUAAAUAAAAGCACUCUAAUAAAAAUGUCAAUGAUAGGUUGAAGGAAGGUAGGGAUGACGUCAAGUCUUCAUGGCCCUUAUGAGUUGGGCUACACACGUGCUACAAUGAUAAUUACAAUGAGAGGCAAUAAUGAUUAAAAAUUGGAGCAAAUCUUUAAAGAUUAUCUUAGUUCGGAUUAUGGGCUGAAACUCGCCCAUAUGAAGCUGGAAUCGCUAGUAAUCGCAGAACAGCAUGCUGCGGUGAAUAUGUUACUAGACUUUGUACACACCGCCCGUCACAUCAAGGAAGUUAAAUAUUUUUAAAAUGAUUUUUAGUUAUUUUAUUUUAAUAAAUAAUUAUUUAAUUUUAAUAAUUUAUAUUUAAGAUUUUAUAAUAUAUAAGUUCCUAAAAAGUAUUUAGUAACUUUGAUGAAGUCGUAACAAGGUAGUCGUAGGGGAACCUGUGGCUGGAAGAGCUCUUUA
RNAcentral lists this non-coding RNA (677 nucleotides) under Globisporangium ultimum DAOM BR144. Its description in RNAcentral is "Pythium ultimum DAOM BR144 Bacterial small subunit ribosomal RNA". It matches the Rfam family "Bacterial small subunit ribosomal RNA", at positions 885 to 1533 of the family's 1533-position model. The record is from Rfam by way of RNAcentral. Lineage: Eukaryota; Oomycota; Peronosporomycetes; Pythiales; Pythiaceae.